AACUUUCAGCAACGGAUCUCUCGGUUCUGGCAUCGAUGAAGAACGCAGCGAAAUGCGAUAAGUAAUGCGAAUUGCAGAAUUCAGUGAGUCAUCGAAUCUUUGAACGCACAUUGCGCCCUGUGGUAUUCCGCAGGGCAUGCCUGUUCGAGCGUCAUUUCAACCCUCAAGCCCUGCUUGGUGUUGGGCCCUGCCUGUCGCAGCUGGCCCCAAAGUCAGUGGCAGUGCCGUGUGGCUCUAAGCGUAGUACGUCUCUCGCUCUAGGGUCCCACAGCAGCUUGCCAGAACCCCGAAUUCUAUGGUUGACCUCGGAUCAGGUAGGGAUACCCGCUGAACUUAAGCAUAUCAAUAAGCGGAGGCU
This 358-nucleotide unclassified non-coding RNA is filed under the name uncultured Myxotrichaceae. RNAcentral's name for it is "sequence contains ITS2". The stretch from base 1 to 154 matches the Rfam family "5.8S ribosomal RNA". The record is from RNAcentral. Lineage: Eukaryota; Fungi; Ascomycota; Leotiomycetes; Myxotrichaceae.